Molecule: long non-coding RNA, 1982 nt
Organism: Pleuronectes platessa (European plaice)
Lineage: Eukaryota; Metazoa; Chordata; Actinopteri; Pleuronectiformes; Pleuronectidae
Exons: 4
Source: RefSeq, a predicted model, not a curated record
CCCAGGUGCAGCGGCUCAGGUGACGGAGGAAACAGGAGGAGAAUCAAACACAGACGUGCCUGACAAACCACAGGUGGAUCAGGUGGAGUCUAGCUGCAGACUGAAGGAACUGCCGAGGAUUGGUCAGAACAGACUCUGGUCAGGCGCAUUGUUCUGGCCGUCAGGGUGGCGCUCAAAACUCUGCUCCUGCACCACCUGCCAGGAGCGUCUGUCACAAGCUUAUCUGUCCUUCUUAUUGGACGAGUGGGACACCGUCCUUGCCUACAAAAGAAAAGGAAAGAACAACGAACAGACGUAACAAGGACACGACCCUCUGAUGAUACAACGACAUGGAAACUGAACUGAAGGAUUUUCUUCAGACGUUUGCAGCUGAAGGAAAUGUCACUGACAUCUGAUGUCAUGUGACUGUUCUGAGAGGUUGUGACCUAUAAUGUCACUUGACUGUUCUGAUAGGUCAUGGGAAUGACCUCAUCGUGACCUCAUCAUGACCUCAUCAUGUAGCAAUGCUUAACGUGAACAACCAAUAAGGUUAGAGACAGAAUCUACAACUAACUAAUAUUAGCAGAGUAAUCAUCAUGUGGGAUUAAUGAUGUCAUGACAGAUUUCAUAAUUGAUCAUUAUUAAAUUGUAUAACAAUAUAAAAGUGAUUAUUGAUGGUUCAGGGUAUGAACAGUGUUUCCAUUCUGCUUUUGAGUUUCAGAGGUGAUUGAGUAUGUGUGACACAUGAACAUGUGACAAGCACGUCUUCCUCAUCUCUUCAUUGUGCUGGUGUCUGAUCAUGUUCAGCUCCUUCAGAGGUUGGACCAGUUUAGCUUGGAAACAAAUACAUCAGGGUCUGCAUGCCAGAAAGUAAUCAGAUUACAUUGUACUUGUACAAGUAUUUUUUCCUUUUUUUUCCGAUUAUUUAUUUUUUACAUUACAUUUUAUUUAGCUGACGCUUUUAUCCAAAGCGACUUACAAUAAGUGCAUUCAACCCCGAGGGUACAAACCCAGGACAACAAGAAUCAAGAAAGUACAAUUUCUUCAAAAUAAAGCAAAACUACAAAGUGCUAUAAGUAAGUGCGAUUUAAGUGCUACUAAAGUGUUAGUUUCAAAAAGUUGUCACUAUUUUUUUUUUCUCAAGGUAUAGUUGGAAGAGGUGUGUUUUUAGUUUUCGGCGGAAGAUGUGUAGACUUUCUGAUGUCCGGAUGUCGAUGGGGAGCUCAUUCCACCAUCUAGGAGCCAGGACGGCAAACAGUCGUGCUGCUGCAUUCUGGAUGAGCUGCAAAGGUCGGAUGUCAGUAGCAGGUAGACCUGCCAGGAGGGAGUUACAGUAGUCUAGACGUGAGAUGACCAGAGCCUGGACCAGAACCUGCACCGCCUUCUGAGUGAGAAGGGGGCGUAUUCUCCUGAUGUUGCACAGGCAGGAGAUCAGAAAAUCCUUUCAAAUUUGGUACAAAUGUACAUUUAGACUCAGAUGAACUGAUGAGUCUCAGUGGUCAAAGGUCACAGGGACAUAGAAUUGGUUGGUGGAGGUGAUCCUAGCAUUGACUGUUGUUCUUUUUGACUGAGGUCAGAGAAAUUAAACGCUGGUCCAUCCAGUCGGGAAUUGAACCAGGGACCUGCUGCUCAGGUGUGUGGAGGAAAUCAUUUUCUGAAAAAAAUACCCUAAUUGUCUUUUAAGUGCACGUAUUCUUUGGCAAAGACAAUCAAACCGAUCUAACAGCAUGCAGACGUGAAGAUGGGUAAGACCAAGAAACAUUGUUGGUUGUUCUCUUUCAUACAAAAAGAGGUGAGAGCGGCACCUAGUGAGUCACCAACAGACAUCUUGUCACAUGUGAUAUGCAUAAACACAGAUACUAGUGUGGUUACAUAAGCAUGUAUAAUACAGAGUAUCAUUACAGGUGCGACCAUGUCGGACACGUUCCGACUCCUUCACAUCAUUAUAUUACAUUUGAUCCAAUCAGUCGACCAUCUGGUUGGAGGACGACCACUGGACCCCG